Octopus sinensis (East Asian common octopus) is the source of this 108-nucleotide long non-coding RNA. RefSeq lists it as uncharacterized. Lineage: Eukaryota; Metazoa; Mollusca; Cephalopoda; Octopoda; Octopodidae. The transcript is spliced from 3 exons. The record is from RefSeq and is a predicted model, not a curated record.
UUGUGAGGUUGUGAGUUCAAUCCCCAGUGGCAUGUUGUAUCCUUCAGCAAGACACUUUAUUUCAUGUUGCUCCAGUCCACUCAGCUGGCAAAAAAAUGAGUUGGACUU